CAGGCCUAACACAUGCAAGUCGAACGGACCCUUCGGGGUUAGUGGCGGACGGGUGAGUAACACGUGGGAACGUGCCUUUAGGUUCGGAAUAGCUCCUGGAAACGGGUGGUAAUGCCGAAUGUGUCCUUCGGGGGAAAGAUUUAUCGCCUUUAGAGCGGCCCGCGUCUGAUUAGCUUGUUGGUGAGGUAAUGGCUCACCAAGGCUACGAUCAGUAGCUGGUCUGAGAGGAUGACCAGCCACAUUGGGACUGAGACACGGCCCAAACUCCUACGGGAGGCAGCAGUGGGGAAUCUUGCGCAAUGGGCGAAAGCCUGACGCAGCCAUGCCGCGUGGAUGAUGAAGGUCUUAGGAUUGUAAAAUCCUUUCACCGGUGAAGUAAUGACUGUAGCCGGAGAAGAAGCCCCGGCUAACUUCGUGCCAGCAGCCGCGGUAAUACGAAGGGGGCUAGCGUUGCUCGGAAUUACUGGGCGUAAAGGGAGCGUAGGCGGACAUUUAAGUCAGGGGUGAAAUCCCAGAGCUCAACUCUGGAACUGCCUUUGAUACUGGGUGUCUUGAGUGUGAUAGAGGUAUGUGGAACUCCGAGUGUAGAGGUGAAAUUCGUAGAUAUUCGGAAGAACACCAGUGGCGAAGGCGACAUACUGGAUCAUUACUGACGCUGAGGCUCGAAAGCGUGGGGAGCAAACAGGAUUAGAUACCCUGGUAGUCCACGCCGUAAACGAUGAUUGCUAGUUGUCGGGUUGUUUACAACUCGGUGACGCAGCUAACGCAUUAAGCAAUCCGCCUGGGGAGUACGGUCGCAAGAUUAAAACUCAAAGGAAUUGACGG
This 825-nucleotide ribosomal RNA is filed under the name uncultured bacterium. RNAcentral's name for it is "bacterial SSU rRNA". It matches the Rfam family "Bacterial small subunit ribosomal RNA", at positions 43 to 916 of the family's 1533-position model. The record is from RNAcentral.